RNAcentral lists this long non-coding RNA (314 nucleotides) under Dromaius novaehollandiae (emu). RNAcentral describes it as "lncRNA (ENSDNVG00000003224.1)". Lineage: Eukaryota; Metazoa; Chordata; Aves; Casuariiformes; Dromaiidae. The record is from RNAcentral.
UUCCCCAACCGUCAUUAACCAGACCUGCAUUUCAGCUAGAAUACCUUUGCUGAGCUCCYGGGUGAGCCAGGCCCGGACGCCUCCUGCGCUUUGGCCAAGUCUGGCACCCACAUGGGGUUUGCCAGUGUCCUGCUUCUCUGCAAGUGGGUCGGAACGUGUGUGUAUCCCAUUAACUCUAUCCUCGCUGCUCUCAAGAUGUUCCGCACAGAUGAUUUUAUUUUUUUUGUAAGAAAAUAUAUUUUACUAGGCAGUUUUAUGAGAGCUGACAAAAUGCCUCGUAAAUAACCCAGCAGGAAAUAUGGGGUAAAUAAAAU